UACCAGGUUUUUUCUAAAGCCCCUGUGGUC
RNAcentral lists this small RNA (30 nucleotides) under Bombyx mori (domestic silkworm). RNAcentral describes it as "ovarian small RNA-20585". The record is from RNAcentral. Lineage: Eukaryota; Metazoa; Arthropoda; Insecta; Lepidoptera; Bombycidae.